RNAcentral lists this long non-coding RNA (1231 nucleotides) under Oryctolagus cuniculus (rabbit). Its description in RNAcentral is "lncRNA (ENSOCUG00000035616.1)". The record is from RNAcentral. Lineage: Eukaryota; Metazoa; Chordata; Mammalia; Lagomorpha; Leporidae.
GGGAUGGGUUCUCCGUGGGUUUCGUCGCCGUGGGAACAUCGUGGUGAGUGCGGUGCACAACGGGAUGACAGUGCCUACUGCACAGGGAGGCUGCAGACCUGUGUGGCGCUCCCGGGACCCAGCACCACAGGCAGUCGGAACACAGGAGCGAGCGGCUCUCGCAGCUGGGCAACCUCAGAGCAUUCGUACCAUCACCCUGGAAAGAAGCCCUGCAGCCUGCAGCCUCAGUGACAUCAGCUGAAGCCUGGAGGAAAGACCUGGGCAGGUGGACUGGGUGAGGCAGGGCGAGAAGGCUCAGGCCGUGCCCCAGGUGGACUGCGAGGUCGGCCACGGCCACAGGUCCCCUUCCCUCCUCUGGUUCUGGAUUACCUCUGAAUACAAGUUGGUGUCGAUUGAGCACCUGCGUGCCAGGCUCCGGAUGUGACUUAGGGAUCCUGUGCUGGGGGCUUGGGGGAGCAGGUGGGUGGGAGGAGCUUCUUUUUUCCCACUGGCAAAUAGUUCUGCCCCCUGGUGGCCACAGUCAGCAGUGCAAGUGUCAGUCUCUGGGUCCAUUCCUCUUCCCACUGCGCACCCCCCAGACCCCAACAUCAGACAUAACCACGGAGUCCCGGGCAUCCCUGUGAGCCAAGCUCUGGCUGGUCUUUCCUGCAGUCCUUUGACACACACAAAGUGCUCCCUGUGUUGAGCUUGGCCCGGUGGCUGGUGGAGGAGGGGGGGGCAUGUCCGUAACUAACCAGCUUUUGGAGGCGUCAAGGGUUCCUGAACCAGUUCGAUGUAAGGAGACAGAGAAGGCAGCCUAGGCGCAGGCUGAGACCUGAAGGACGAGUAGAAAUGAAUCAGAAGUGACUGAGAAAGGAGCGGACGCUUAGCUCAGAGCUGAAGACGCCAGUUAAAAAAGCCGGGGCCAUCCCAGCUCUGGCUCCUGACUCCAGCUUCCUGCUGAUGCGCACCCUGGGAGUCAGCAGCGAUGGCUCAAGUAGUUGGGUCCCUGCCACCCUCCUGGGAGACCCAGAUGAGUUCUCAGUUCCCAGCCUCGCUCCAGCCCCAUCCCAGCUGCUGCAGGCAUUUGGGGAUUGCCCUCGGAGGCACUAGGGAGCCACGGAAGAGUUUUGAGAAGGGGAGGGACAGGGUGAGAUAGACAUGCUAGACAGACCUCUGACUGCUAUGUAGGAGGUGGCUGGAGCAGGCUGAUGCCAGGCCCAUCCUACUUCCUCGGGGUCCAGGGUGGGAG